Non-coding RNA from Petromyzon marinus (sea lamprey), 1303 nucleotides. The record is from RefSeq and is a predicted model, not a curated record. Lineage: Eukaryota; Metazoa; Chordata; Hyperoartia; Petromyzontiformes; Petromyzontidae.
UCCCUGUCUCUGUCUCUCUCUGUCUCCCUGUCUCUGUCUCUCUCUGUCUCUGUGUCUCUCUCUGUGUGUCCCCACACACGAUGUCUCGCUGUGGUCUCAUCACCGACAGUUUCGCAGUGGUGAGACGCGCGAAGACACGGAUUUGGAUCAGCUGCGAGCCUUUGACCUCGCUAUGGAAUACGGACCUUGUACAGGCAUCACGCGAUUGGAGCGAUGGGCGCGUGCUGAGAGUCUGGCCCUGGGCCCUCCAUGCUGGGUGAAGGCGAUGGUGGAGGGGAGGUCGGAAGACGUUCGCUUCACCCACAGUGUCUGGCACGGCUACCCUCUGUGAGAAUAAGACGAAACCCUGACCCUGAGACCCGGUGUCAACUCAAGACUCUGAGACACUGAGACCCGGUCUCUACUCUAGACUCUGAGACCCUGAGACCCAGUCUCUACUCUAGACACUGAGACCCGGUCUCUACUCUAGACACUGACCCUGAGACCCGGUCUCUACUCUAGACUCUGAGACCCUGAGACUCGGUGUCAAUUCAAGACUCCCACCCUGAGACCCGGUCUCAACUCUAGACACUCACCCUGAGACAUAGAUGCUCAAACAAGGUUGAACAGAUGGGUGCUGUGCUAUAUUUUAGAUUUUUCUGGAUGGGAAAUAAUAACGGUGUCUGUACAUAUUGUCUGACCUUGCGAAGAAAAUGCAAAAAAAUUAAUCUAUUGCGCGACGUUUGAUAACUUAACGGCUGCGAGGUUUGGUCGAUUGUAUACCCAUGGGGUGGGUGUCAAGGAGGGUAAGCCCCUGGCUCUGCAAGAAGUCGGCACAGCAGAGUGUGUGGACUAAUGUCCAUCUGUUCCAUUUCUCAGUAGAAGGGGGGUACAGUAGAGUGUGUGGACUAAUCUCCAUCUGUUCCAUCUCACUCCCUGUCUAUACCCGUGGGUGGGUGUCAUCUGGUUGAUAAUUGUACGGUAGAUUUUUUUUUACCUAGUGUGUUAAUGCAAGUGGUUUUUUUAAAUUAUUAAAUUGACGAUGUAAUAAUAAUAACUUAAUUAUAUUUUUAUAUUUUUUACUUUGCGGCCUACGAGGUGAAUUGACCUGAUUUUCCUAGCUCGUUUCCCGCGGUGGUGGUUGGGGGGGGGGGGGGGUGUGUGGGCUCUCUGUCGGGCCGGGCCGCUCAGGCAAGAGGGGAGGGCUGGUGGAGUCAGGACUCGGGCCUACUGUCACCACCGUUGCCAUGGCAACGCCUGCCUCCUUUCUCAUCUGCAAGUGCCUCAAUAAACCAGCUGAGUUUGUGUGCAUGUUGAACUUAAA